RNAcentral lists this ribosomal RNA (465 nucleotides) under uncultured bacterium. RNAcentral describes it as "partial 16S ribosomal RNA". It matches the Rfam family "Bacterial small subunit ribosomal RNA", at positions 338 to 795 of the family's 1533-position model. The record is from RNAcentral.
CCUACGGGUGGCAGCAGUGGGGAAUCUUGGACAAUGGGCGCAAGCCUGACCCAGCUACUCCGCGUGUGGGAUGACGGCCUUCGGGUUGUAAACCUCUUUUGUUGAGGACGAAAAGUCUGUUGAUUAUCUCUAUAGAUGAUGACGGUACUCUAAGAAUAAGCCCCGGCUAACUACGUGCCAGCAGCCGCGGUAAUACGUAGGGUGCGAGCGUUAUUCGGAAUUAUUGGGCGUAAAGGGUGGGCAGGCGGUUUUGCAAGUUUGAUGUGAAAGCCCAGGGCUUAACCGGGGAAAGCCAUACAUAACUGUAAGACUGGAGUGCGGCAGAGGAAGGUGGAAUUCCAAGUGGAGCAGUGAAAUGCGUAGAUAUUUGGAAGAACACCGGUGGCGAAGGCAGCCCCCUGGGACGCAACUGACGCUCAUACACGAAAGCGUGGGGAGCAAACAGGAUUAGAUACCCGUGUAGUC